Molecule: small nuclear RNA, 149 nt
Filed under: Sciurus vulgaris (Eurasian red squirrel)
Lineage: Eukaryota; Metazoa; Chordata; Mammalia; Rodentia; Sciuridae
Description: U4 spliceosomal RNA (ENSSVLG00005024255.1)
Rfam family: U4 spliceosomal RNA
About the family: U4 small nuclear RNA (U4 snRNA) is a component of the major U2-dependent spliceosome. The structure of U4 snRNA from yeast and human has been reported.
Source: Rfam by way of RNAcentral
AUCUUUGUGCAGUGGCAGUAUCAUAACCAAUGACAUUCAUCUGAGGUGUGAUUAUUGAUAAUUCCUAAUUGAAAACUUUUCCCAAAAUAAUUGCCAUUGGCAAUUGAAAUAUACUCGGCACUGGCAAUUUUUGACAGUUUCUACAGAGA